CCUACGGGAGGCUGCAGUGAGGAAUAUUUGUCAAUGGGCGCGAGCCUGAACCAGCCAAGCAGCGUGAAGGAUGACUGCCCUACGGGUUGUAAACUCCUUUUAUAAAGGAAUAAAGUGAGGCACGUGUGCCUUUUGGUACGUACUCUAUGAAUAAGGAUCGGCUAACUACGUGCCAGCAGCCGCGGUAAUACGGAGGAUCCGAGUGUUAUCCGGAUUUAUGGGGCGUAAAGGGAGCGUAGAUGGGUUGUUAAGUCCGUUGUGAAAGUUGGCGGCUCAACCGCGAGAUUGCAAUUGAUACUGGCUGCCGUGAGUGCAGUAGGGGUAGGCGGAAUUCGUGGUGUAGCGGUGAAAUGCGUAGAUAUCACGAAGAACUCUGGUUGCGAAGGCGGCCUACUAAACUGCAACUGACGUUGAUGCUCGAAAGUGUGGGUAUCAAACAGGAUUAGAUACCCUUGUAGUC
Molecule: ribosomal RNA, 460 nt
Filed under: uncultured bacterium
Lineage: Bacteria
Description: partial 16S ribosomal RNA
Rfam family: Bacterial small subunit ribosomal RNA
Source: RNAcentral